Non-coding RNA from Acanthosepion pharaonis, 92 nucleotides. NCBI's taxonomy places the organism in Eukaryota, Metazoa, Mollusca, Cephalopoda, Sepiida, Sepiidae. The record is from the annotation of a GenBank genome assembly.
AAAACAUAGGUUCUCAUAUGAUCACCAAAGUUAAGCAAUGUCGAGCCUGGUCAGUACCUAGAUGGAUGACGAUUUGGAAAUACCAGGUGCUA